AGUGGCCUGAUUCUUGUAAAAAUAACUUUUGAUUUUUAUUCUGCCUUUUGUAAAAUAGCUUACACAUUCUUCUUCUAUUUCUUCCCACAACAACAAUCCUAUGAGGAUGGGAUGAUAAAGGAUGCUGGUCCAAAAUCACCUGAAUACCACCUUUGAUGUCGUCUUUUUGCCAGACAUCUGGAAACUUUAGGUUUACAUAAGACACUUACCAAUGAAAGCAAGGAUUUCUCAGUUUGAAUUAGAAGCGAGCUACACAGGCAGAGUUUUCUAAUAAAGCUUCAGUACUUCAGUCAAGUUCACUUCUUAUCUCAAAUUGAGUUUUAUUAUUGAAAAAGCUUACUGGCUGAAUUCAGCCCCCACCUCCUUUUUACCUAGAAAAGGUUUUUCUUCAUUUUCAUAUCUUCUUAAAUGCUCCAGUGAAGCAAGAAACAAAAAACCCCGCACUGAGCAUUGAAGAAUCUUGAUAGGAAAGUUCAAUAGAGUUUGAAACAUUCCUCCCUUUUGUGACGCUCUCUCUCAACUCAUAGCCCAGUGUAGCUGCAUUUAAUUAAGAUAAUCAAACAGUGAAAUUCCAACCACCCACCUCUUAUGUAAUAUGGAGUUUGGCCUACAAAAAGCAGUGUAUAACACAUACUGCAAGCCAAUUCUCACCACAUCUUGCAAUUCCCAUCCAUUUCUAAAGCUAAGCAUUUACAUUUCCCCCACUUCUCAGCACUACUUCCUACCAGCUGUCCUUUCCUUUUUUCUAGUUCAACAGAGUAGUGUUUACGUGGGAAGAGAUUGCCGUCUGUGACCAAUUGUUUCUCUAGGAAAUGAAUCAGAGGGGAAGAAUAAACAUUUGUGGUAUGGUGACCAUUUCUGAGAAUGUUCUGCCACAUCACAAAGAUCCCAAACAUACAACAAGAGCAGUUCACAAACUGUGGUUUCCUCCAAUGAUGCGUCCAUAAUAUUAAGAGGUGACUGUGUCAUCUGCUAAAUGUGUUUCCUUCAUACAAAGGAUGUUCAGAAUAAAUUUUAUUACAAAUGCAGAUGAAGCUUAAUUUAUAGAUGUCCUUGGUCCUGUUAUGUGACCAUACCUCUAGUCUAAAAUCAUUCUUGAAUGUCUGUACUAUUAAAGACACCUACAUAUG
Molecule: non-coding RNA, 1130 nt
Organism: Pantherophis guttatus
Lineage: Eukaryota; Metazoa; Chordata; Lepidosauria; Squamata; Colubridae
Source: RefSeq, a predicted model, not a curated record